UAAUACGAAGGGUGCAAGCGUUAAUCGGAAUUACUGGGCGUAAAGCGCGCGUAGGUGGUUCAGCAAGUUGGAGGUGAAAUCCCCGGGCUCAACCUGGGAACUGCCUCCAAAACUACUGAGCUAGAGUACGGUAGAGGGUAGUGGAAUUUCCUGUGUAGCGGUGAAAUGCGUAGAUAUAGGAAGGAACACCAGUGGCGAAGGCGACUACCUGGACUGAUACUGACACUGAGGUGCGAAAGCGUGGGGAGCAAACAGG
RNAcentral lists this ribosomal RNA (256 nucleotides) under uncultured bacterium. Its description in RNAcentral is "partial 16S ribosomal RNA". It matches the Rfam family "Bacterial small subunit ribosomal RNA", at positions 521 to 776 of the family's 1533-position model. The record is from RNAcentral. RNAcentral also lists the same sequence under 1 other name.